This is a non-coding RNA of Pelobates cultripes (western spadefoot toad), 1255 nucleotides long. Lineage: Eukaryota; Metazoa; Chordata; Amphibia; Anura; Pelobatidae. The record is from the annotation of a GenBank genome assembly.
CUAGGCAGAGGGUUCACUUGCAGUGUAGCUCCACCUCGCUUGCAGUGUAGCUCCGCCUCUGAUUUGCCCUCACUGAUAGACCCAAGUGGGGUCUAUCAGUGAGGGCAGAGUUAAGAGGCAGGGAGGGCCUGUUUGCCAGCCUCCUGCCCUAUGAUUAUGGCCCCUGUAAUAGACUUUGGUUAAAGAUACUGUGCCUUUUGGACUUGUACAGUAAUACUUCGGACUCUCGAAGCGGUUCGAAGCAGCACUUCGAACAUGUGGUGGCCAUCUUAAGCCGCGAGCAGUGGGAAAUGGAGUGCUGUCUCGCUAUAAAGACAAGGUAAUUAAAAUUGAUAAAAGGAAUGGAGCAUUUUAGUUACAAAGAAAGGUUAAAAAAGUAAAAUCUCUUUAGUUUGGAAAAACAGCACCUCAGAGGAGAUAUAACAUUAUACAAAUAUGUUCGGGGCCAUUAUCUUAAAAUCUAUUCAUAAAUAGGGCUAUAUAUAGGUAUAUAGGACAUGAGGUCACACAUUUAGGCUGGAAGAAAGGAGAUUUCAUCUAAGGCAAAGAAAGGUUUUUUACAGUAAGAGCAAUAAGGAUAUGGAAUUCUCUGCCUGAAGAGGUGGUUUUAUCAGAGUCCAUACAGAUGUUUAAACUGAAAUUGGAUAAAUACUUGCAAAAUCAUAACAUACAGUGAUAUAAUUUCUAAUUAGUGGGGUAAUAGCUGCUUGAUCCAAGGAGACAUCUGACUGCUAUUUUGGGGUCAAGAAGGAAUUUUUUCCUAGUUUGUUGCAAAAUUGUUUUUUUACCUUCUUUUGGAUCAACAGCAAAAACAUAUGUGAGAAAGCCUGAACUCGAUGGACGCAAGUCUCAUGUAAUUAAUAAAAUUAACACUUAACAGUAACUCAAUAUGAAAAUAAAAUAAAAAUACUCUGAACAUGUGCCAGAUGGUGUCUUAGAGUCCCGUGGCCCUACAUCCAGAUGGCUUGAACCUGCUCAGAAGUGUCCCUGUGUCGGCAAUGGAGCGGGGCACAAAUGUGACUAUGUUGGGGAAGUCCCAGGAGCAGUUAGAAGUAGGGUUAUUAGGGUCUGGUUUAUUCAGUCCUAGUUUGCCGAGGAAGGAACCGGACUCUUCUGUCGAAGUCAGUAGGAAGGUGGUCGCUCCCUUGGUGACUGUAAGCAUAGUUGGCCCCCAUCGGAAUUUGACUCCAGCCUCUCUGAGGGUUGUGGUGACACGCUGGAAGGACUAUCUCCAGGUCAGAGUAGCUUUGCGAAG